GCAUAUCAAUAAGCGGAGGAAAAGAAACCAACAGGGAUUGCCCUAGUAACGGCGAGUGAAGCGGCAACAGCUCAAAUUUGAAAUCUGGCCCUCGGGUCCGAGUUGUAAUUUGUAGAGGAUGCUUUUGGUGCGGCGCCUUCCGAGUUCCCUGGAACGGGACGCCAUAGAGGGUGAGAGCCCCGUCUGGUUGGACGCCAAUCCUCUGUAAAGCUCCUUCGACGAGUCGAGUAGUUUGGGAAUGCUGCUCUAAAUGGGAGGUAUAUGUCUUCUAAAGCUAAAUACCGGCCAGAGACCGAUAGCGCACAAGUAGAGUGAUCGAAAGAUGAAAAGCACUUUGAAAAGAGAGUUAAAAAGUACGUGAAAUUGUUGAAAGGGAAGCGCUUGUGACCAGACUUGGGCUCGGUUGAUCAUCCUGGGUUCUCCCGGGUGCACUCUUCCAGCCCAGGCCAGCAUCAGUUCGCCGCGGGGGACAAAAGCUUCGGGAAUGUGGCUCCCUCGGGAGUGUUAUAGCCCGCUGCGCAAUACCCUGCGGUGGACUGAGGUUCGCGCUCCGCAAGGAUGCUGGCGUAAUGGUCACCAGUGACCCGUCUUGAAACACGGACCAAGGAGUCGUCUUCGUAUGCGAGUGUUCGGGUGUUAAACCCCUACGCGGAAUGAAAGUGAACGCAGGUGAGAGCUUCGGCGCAUCACCGACCGAUCCUGAUGUUCUCGGAUGGAUUUGAGUAAGAGCAUACGGGGCCGGACCCGAAAGAAGGUGAACUAUGCCUGUAUAGGGUGAAGCCAGAGGAAACUCUGGUGGAGGCUCGCAGCGGUUCUGACGUGCAAAUCGAUCGUCAAAUAUGGGCAUGGGGGCGAAAGACUAAUCGAACCUUCUAGUAGCUGGUUCCGCCGAA
This 893-nucleotide ribosomal RNA is filed under the name Nectria augustoi. Its description in RNAcentral is "LSU rRNA". It matches the Rfam family "Eukaryotic large subunit ribosomal RNA", at positions 38 to 965 of the family's 3401-position model. Lineage: Eukaryota; Fungi; Ascomycota; Sordariomycetes; Hypocreales; Nectriaceae. The record is from RNAcentral.